CUGCCACAUCUGAGUAACUAGCUGUUUGGCGGGUGACCAUAUGGCUAAGUGUCGGUCUAUCUACUAAGAGGGGAUAGUCUCCCAUCUAUUUGGGUAGUUCUGCCAAUAAGUGUCACUCUAUAUGUACAAGAGCGUGUAGUCGAGGGGAUAUCUCCCCUCGGUUUACAUUAGAAAUAAGCGCUUGGUUUAUAACCACUAAAACUUAUUCCGAG
This 212-nucleotide unclassified non-coding RNA is filed under the name Hevea brasiliensis (rubber tree). The record is from RNAcentral. Lineage: Eukaryota; Viridiplantae; Streptophyta; Magnoliopsida; Malpighiales; Euphorbiaceae.